ACAAAGUUUUGGUCCUAAACUUGCCGUUGUUUUUAAUCAGGAUUAUACAUGCAAGCCUCCACAAACCAGUGAGAAUGCCCACAAACCCUUAACAGAAAACCGGAGCAGGUAUCAGGUCCAACCAAACGUUAGCCAACAACACCUUGCUACGCCACACCCACACGGGUACUCAGCAGUAAUUAACAUUAAAACAUGAGCGAAAGCUCGAUUUGGCCAUGAUUCAUCAAAGUUGGUAAAUUUCGUGCCAGCCACCGCGGUUACACGAAAAGCUUAAAACAACGACUAUCGGCGUAAAAUGUGACAAGAGAAAGAUUUUUUUAAACUUAAAGAAAAACCACCAAAAAGCCGUAAAACGCUACUAUGAGUGGGAACCACAACAAAAACCAGUCUUUAAACAUAAAAAUCACUUUCCCUCACGAAAGCUAAGAAACAAACUGGGAUUAGAUACCCCACUAUGCUUAGCCAUAAACAAAGACAAUACACACACAAUAUUGUCCGCCAGAGAACUACAAGCGAAAAACUCGAAACUCCAAGGACUUGGCGGUGCUUCACACCAACCUAGAGGAGCCUGUCCUAUAAUCGAUACCCCACGACAAACCUUACCAUCUUUUGCCACUCAGCCUAUAUACCGCCGUCGCCAGCCUACCUUAUGAAAGAAAAACAGUAAGCAAAAUCGUUAACAACAAACACGUCAGGUCAAGGUGUAGCACAUAAGGUGGAAGAGAUGGGCUACAUUUUCUACAACAGAAAAAACGAACGGCACAAUGAAAUACGACCCUGAAGGUGGAUUUAGUAGUAAGAUAAUCAAGAAAAAUUAUCUUAAACCCGCUCUGAAGCGCGCACACACCGC
This 850-nucleotide non-coding RNA is filed under the name Hakaria simonyi. RNAcentral's name for it is "partial 12S ribosomal RNA". It matches the Rfam family "Bacterial small subunit ribosomal RNA". The record is from RNAcentral. Lineage: Eukaryota; Metazoa; Chordata; Lepidosauria; Squamata; Scincidae.